Molecule: small nuclear RNA, 107 nt
Organism: Ailuropoda melanoleuca (giant panda)
Lineage: Eukaryota; Metazoa; Chordata; Mammalia; Carnivora; Ursidae
Source: Ensembl
GUGUUUGCUUUGGCAGCACAUAUGUGGAAAUUGGAACCGCAUAGAGAAGGUUAGCAUGGCUUCUCUGCAGGGAGAACACGCAGAUCUGUGAAGCAUUCCGUAGUUUU